Molecule: transfer RNA, 72 nt
Filed under: Pseudomonadota bacterium
Lineage: Bacteria; Pseudomonadati; Pseudomonadota
Also listed under: 1 other name
Description: tRNA-Thr
Rfam family: tRNA
About the family: Transfer RNA (tRNA) molecules are approximately 80 nucleotides in length. Their secondary structure includes four short double-helical elements and three loops (D, anti-codon, and T loops).
Source: RNAcentral
GCCACCUUAGCUCAGUGGUAGAGCAGCGGUUUUGUAAACCGUUGGUCCUCGGUUCAAAUCCGAGAGGUGGCU